Molecule: small RNA, 97 nt
Filed under: Mycolicibacterium phlei
Lineage: Bacteria; Bacillati; Actinomycetota; Actinomycetes; Mycobacteriales; Mycobacteriaceae
Also listed under: 1 other name
Description: Mycobacterium phlei Guanidine-I sequence
Rfam family: Guanidine-I riboswitch aptamer
About the family: This family represents a conserved RNA structure found upstream of the ykkC and yxkD genes in Bacillus subtilis and related genes in other bacteria. The function of this family is unclear although it has been suggested that it may function to switch on efflux pumps and detoxification systems in response to harmful environmental molecules.
Source: RNAcentral
GUGAGGCGCGCCUAGGGUUCCGCCGUCACGGGUCUGGUCCGAGAGGCGCAGGCGGACUGCGGCGUCCGUUCCACGGCGGGAGAAAAGCCCGGGAGAC